Molecule: RNA transcript, 3524 nt
Organism: Malus domestica (apple)
Lineage: Eukaryota; Viridiplantae; Streptophyta; Magnoliopsida; Rosales; Rosaceae
Gene name: E3 ubiquitin ligase PARAQUAT TOLERANCE 3-like
Source: RefSeq, a predicted model, not a curated record
UCUCUCCCUCUCCACUUUUCAACUUGAUGAUCCGAAGACUUUGACCCCACCGACGCGACUUCUCCGCCAUGGCGAUCCAGUUCAAAUUCAGAAGCUCCGUCAACUUCGAUUCCGUCGCCAUCGACGGCCGAGCCUCCAUCUCCGUUCGCGAUCUCAAAUCCAAGGUAAUUCGCCACAAGAACCUCAACCUCUGCCAAGACUCCGAUCUCCUCUUCUCUGACGCCGUAACCGGUCAAGAGUACAACGACGAGAAUAUUCAAAUUCCGUGUGGUUCAAGCGUGAUAAUUAAGAGAGUUCCUGCAGGAUCAGUACAUGUGGAUCUGCCUCACUUCAACUCGUGCCCGAAUCUUCAUAGCAAGGACUCUGUCGACGAUAAAUCACUUGUUGCAGCGAAUGCUGAGACUGUUGACUUUGAUGACUUUGGGGUUGACGUGUAUCCCAUUCCUAAAGAAACCGUUUUCAGUUCUGAUUUGGAUCCAGACAAGGAUGACUUCAUCUAUGAUUAUCAACCAAAUAGCGAUAACUGCAUCACAAGGUAUUCGGAGCCCGCUGUGAGAGGAUGCCUGAAACUUGAAGCAAGUGGCAUUAGUGAUGCUAUUCCAGGAGGUCAUGCACAUAGUGGAGUUGAACAAAUCAUAGUGCCUACAAAAUCAAAGCCUGAAGAAGAUGACAUGAAUGUGGAAAGGGUGGGCAGUGCGAAUCCCCUAGAUACAGGGCAUGCUAAUUUGUCAACAGAGCUGAAAUGCUCUCUAUGCAAUGCAUAUUUCAAGGAGGCUGUGAUGAUACCAUGCUGCCAGCACAGUUUUUGUGAGAAAUGCAUUUCUCAAGUGUUGCGAGAAAAGUCCAGAUGUCCCAAGUGUUUUUCGACCAAAUGCAGAGUAGAAGAUUUGCUGCCGAAUGUUUCUCUUAGGCAAGCAAUUGAGCAUUUCCUAGAAUCCCAAAAUUUAAUCACUGCUCCAGAUAAUGAUUGUUGCCAAUAUGCUCCAGAUGGAGAAUCUGGAAUUCAAGCCAAAGAUGUGUCUCGCGGCAAUAAUUUUUUACAGAGAGAGCCAGAGGUGCCUCAUUCUCCUGAAACAGGGACAGGAUCUAAUCAUUUCUUCGCAGAAUCUGCUUUUAACCCUCCUUUCAAAAAAGAUGUUAAACCUGCAAUCCCGAAACAAAGGCCACCUUGGGUUUCUUCAGAAGGUUGUGACAAGAGCUUCUUGGAGACUGGAAAGCACAGAAAGGGGAAACGUACCUGUUACAUGUGUGGUUCUACAGACCAUUUCAUAAGAGACUGUCCAGUGGCUUCAAGCCCACAUCCUAUGCUUCAUGCAGGAAAUGCAAUAUUUCCAGGAGCCAUGCCAGGUUAUGUACCACCAUAUUGGAAUGGAGCUCCCUCACCUCGUGCCAUGCCCUUUAGAAAUCCAUAUGGAAAUCAUGCGAUGACGGCGUUUGGUGCAAAUAUGGUCCCUCCUGCUCCUUAUACUAUUCCUACAUACAUGCCAUCAAUGUAUUACUCAUUCCCUUCCUUUGGUGGAUACAUGAGGAUGAGAGGUGUUGCUCCUCUUCCAGGGACUAGCAAAGACUGCUAUUUAAGUCAUUCGGAAUCCCUGGAUCUUCAUGGUGGGGAAAAGAGAAGAAAAGUUUCAAAUGAGAAUUUGAGGAGAGAACAAUCUCAUGAUUGUGACGAUGACGAAGACCAUGAUUUAAACGAGAGACAUGGCUAUGAUGGGACAGAAAGACUACAUGACCACAGAUCUUGUAUAAACAGGGAAAAGAGCAUAAGUUACUCUGAGGAAGGCUCUACUAAAGGGUCCCAGAGGCAAUAUCGGCUUCAUAAUCACACAGAUGAUGACAGGCUCGCAGUUGAUGGUCAGUGGAAGAGUUCGCGUUUGGUGGUUGAUGGUAGAGCUCCAAAGCAGUAUCAUCGCACGGAAAGAUCAAGCUCAGAAUUAGACGAUGUGCCAAGUAGCUCUGGUUUCCAUGAAGAGAGAAAGAAACACCACCAUAGGAGCUCCAGAAAGCACAAGGAUCGAAGAGAGCAGUGUGGCAGUGAUUCCAGUUGGAGUGAUCAUCGAUAUACCAAAGAUGAUAACAGAAAAGGGAUCGAGCAUGAAUCCAAAAGGCAGAGUCAGAAAUAUCGCAGCCACUCAGGAUCUGGUAUGGAUCAAAGUGGUUCCAGUGAUAAGAAGUUGCAGAAAGAGAGCAGUCACAGUUCUAGACAUUCUAAGCACAGUGGAAAGAGUAAUGUCAAUGGGCGGAGUCAUGACAGGUGGAAGAUGGUUAGUGGGUCGGAUGAAGAUUGUGGAGAAGGUUAUCAGUAUUCUAGACAGAAAAGAAAACACUAGAAAACAUCCGGACUGGUUUGUGAGAUCUGAUUGAUUCGGCUUUUGGACAGUAACUGUUUGUUAAUAUCUGCUAACCCACCGCUUCACAUUUUAAGCUUUGAUCAUAGAUGGAGAGGCUAGCAUACAAAAGUUUUAACAAGAGCAGCAAUUGUUGAUGUAGCCACAGACUUGUGUAUGCUUUUUGCUCAUACCGGAACUUACUUUCGCAGACUUGUUAAAGCCGGUUGAAGGUAUGUUCCCUUUCAAAGGAAAAAAAGGUACAGAAACAGAAGCCCUAAAACCAGGGGGAUUAGAACAAAGUCAGGUAUUUGCUUUCCUUCCCCAGGAAGAUGCAAUUGGACCCAAUGCAGUCGCAACCCAACAGUCCAACGCAGCAAUAUUUACCAACUACUGCAAAAUUAAGAAGCUGCAAAGAAAGAUGUUGACAUGAACUGCAAGUUUGCCACAAACUUAUUCGAUCGAUCAAGGGCUCGAUCGAUUAAGGGCGAUGGAUACCCUGGUUCCUGCAAUAAGAAGUGGUCGCGGAGAUUAUUUCGACUGUUCUCACUUAUUCAUGGACAACCAAAGCUAGACGAGAGGACUCGAAAAUGGUUACGUUCUGGUUGCAGUGUCUCAAACUAAUCAUUCGACGCCGCAACCUUGGUGUCUCCAUUUCAUGCAGGUCCUUACAGGGACUUGACAUGCAUGGACACUGAACUUGAACUGAAACCCUAAGCAAUUAAAAUCACGAACUUAUUAACAAGAAAAAUUAAAACCUCGAACUUGUUAAACUGAAAAAUUAUAAAUACGAAACCAGUGACAAAGAUUAGCAAGUGCCCCCACUGGCGGCGGAGUUCCUUCCGCCGGUCGGGGUUUCUCAACCUCAUAAUGCCAAAUAUACCUGUCCGGGUAACGCACUCCUGGCCAGGCUCCGGUCAUACAAUCUUCGUUCACCCCGGUCAUACAAUCUUUGUUUGGGAAAACAUGAGACACUAUUCAUCGAAGGGCUGAUUCCGAAGAGCUUUUGAAUUGGUUAAAAAUGCUUUCAGAUUACCAGAAACAUUUUUUAGUGCUUUUCUGACGGUAUAAUUUCAAGUAAAUUAGGGGUGGGCACGGUUCGGUGUGUUUUUGAGUGAAACUGAAACCGAAAUUUUUUGCAGUUCGGUUCGGUGUGAUUUUGAAGUCAAUCGAAAUGAAAUCAAACUAUUUGGUUUA